This is a long non-coding RNA of Ictalurus punctatus (channel catfish), 519 nucleotides long. Lineage: Eukaryota; Metazoa; Chordata; Actinopteri; Siluriformes; Ictaluridae. The record is from Ensembl.
GGCAGUUGGUCAUUGUAGGUAUGUGUCAGUUGGUCACUGUAGGUAUGUGUCAGUUGGUCACUGUAGGCAUGUGGCAGCUGGUCACUUUAGGUAUGUGGCAGUUGGUCACUGUAGGCAUGUGGCAGUUGGUCAUUGUAGGUAUGUGUCAGUUGGUCAUCGUGGGUAUGUGUCAGUUGGUCACUGUAGGUAUGUGUCAGUGGUCACUGUAGGCAUGUGUCAGUUGGUUACUGUAGGCAUGUGGCAGUUGAUCACUUUAGGUAUGUGGCAGUUGGUUACUGUAGGUAUGUGUCAGUUGGUCACUGUAGGUAUGUGUCAGUUGGUCACUGUAGGCAUGUGUCAGUUGUUUUGAAGGGAUUAUUUACUAAUUGGAUUUGUACAUUGGAUGUUUUAAUAAUUUUUGAAUGUACAAGAACAAUGUGGUUGUAUUUUGAUUUCUUUACUGGGACUAAAUUCAUAAAAAAAAAAAAAAUACAAAUACGCUUAGCCUUAACCUUUGUAUAUUUUCAUAUAAAGUGCGUC